RNAcentral lists this ribosomal RNA (1412 nucleotides) under Hyloxalus anthracinus (South American rocket frog). Its description in RNAcentral is "partial 16S ribosomal RNA". It matches the Rfam family "Bacterial large subunit ribosomal RNA", at positions 378 to 2594 of the family's 2925-position model. Lineage: Eukaryota; Metazoa; Chordata; Amphibia; Anura; Dendrobatidae. The record is from RNAcentral.
GCUAAAAAUCUAGCCCCUCCUCCCCUUAUCCCUAACCUUUAUUUAUUACAUUUUAAUUAAAACAUUUUAUCAAUUUAGUAAAGGCGAUUAAAAAAUUUGUCGGAGCAAUAAUUAUAGUACCGCAAGGGAAAGAUGAAAUAAAAAUGAAACAACUCUAAAGCACAAAAAAGUAGAGCUUAAUUCUCGUACCUUUUGCAUCAUGAUUUAACUAGUCUAACCAGGCAGAAAGACUUUUAGUUUGACCCCCCGAAUCUAAGUGAGCUAUUUUAAGAUAGCUUUAUGAGCAAAUCCGUCUCUGUUGCAAAAGAGUGGAGAGAUCUUAAAAUAGAGGUGAUAAGCCUAACGAACUUAGUGAUAGCUGGUUGCUCAUGAAAAGGAUUUUAGUCCCGCUUAAAGACACUUUUAUUAUUCAAAAUACCUUUAAAGUAAUUCAAAUAAGGUACAGCCUAUUUGAAAAAGGAUACAACCUCAGCCCCUGGGUAAUUUCUACGAAUUUAUGACCAAGUAGGCUUAAAAGCAGCCAUCUUAAACAAAAGCGUCAAAGCUUCCCCAUUCGUUCACACAAUUUCUCCACCUUCCUUCAACCCACAACUUUUAAAGAGCAACUCUAUACUACUAUAGAAAAUUUUAUGUUAGAACUAGUAAUAAGAAGAAAAUUCUUCUCUUUAAUGUCAGUAUAAAUCAGUAAGGACCAUCCGCUGAUUAUUAACGUUCCUAAUUCCACAGUAAUAACCGACCAAGAAAAAUUUACUUAACCUCACGUUAACCUAACACAAGAACAUUCUAAGAAAGAUUUAAAGAAAAAGAAGGAACUCGGCAAAUAUAAGCCUCGCCUGUUUACCAAAAACAUCGCCUCCUGACUAUAAAUAGGAGGUCCAGCCUGCCCAGUGACAUUGUUCAACGGCCGCGGUAUCCUAACCGUGCGAAGGUAGCGUAAUCACUUGUUCUUUAAAUAAGGACUAGUAUGAAUGGCUUCACGAAGGCUUAACUGUCUCCUUUUUCUAAUCAAUGAAACUAAUCUCCUCGUGAAGAAGCGAGAAUAAAACUAUAAGACGAGAAGACCCUAUGGAGCUUUAAACAAGAAAGAUAUUUACUUUUCAUUUCUUACCUUCCGAAAUUAAAACAUAACCAAGUAUUUUACCUUCAGUUUUAGGUUGGGGUGACCACGGAGAAUAAACCAUCCUCCAUGCUGAAAGAAAUUUUCAUCUCUUAGCAAAAAGUUACAACUUUAUGCAUCAACAAAUUGACUUUCAUUGACCCAAUAAUUUGAUCAACGAACCAAGUUACCCUAGGGAUAACAGCGCAAUCUAUUUCAAGAGCUCAUAUCGACAAAUAGGUUUACGACCUCGAUGUUGGAUCAGGGUACCCCAGUGGUGCAGCCGCUACUAACGGUUCGUUGUCAACGAUAAAAC